CGGGCCAUGGACGAGCCGAGCCUCCUGCGGCGCCGCGGGCUCCAGAAGGAGCUGAGCCUGCCACGCCGGGGCCGCGGGUGAGUUCCCCUCCAGCUGUGGGGUUGGGGAGGCUGCAGUCCUGGCUGCGAGUUGCGACUUACUCAGUACUCAGACUCCUUCUCACCUGAUCCUCCCUGGCAUUGUGCUUCACAACGCUCACUGGGCUGCCACCAACAGCCUGGGAAACCCCGGUCGGUAUGCAAAUGUAUGCAAAUGAGGAACCAGAGAUGUAGAGGCCUUGCUCCCAGGGUUUAAGGGCACCAGCAUGGAAUGAGCCACAUUCCUUGCAGCCCAAAUACCCUGAUUCUGCCUUGGAUGCCUCCUGCAAUGGGGAGCUCACUUCUUUUCAGGGACCACGGGGAGAAAAUAGUCUUGCUUGGGCUCACAUGGACAUUCCGGUAGGCCGGCAUUUUUGCAGCUCCCUAAGCGCAAAGAGCAUUUCGUGCACCCUCCUCCCCGUUUCCUGGUGGGGGACACCACAGCCCAGACGGGGAGCAGUUCGUGUCCUGCCUUGCGCCGGCUGGUGGUCUGGAAGUAUGUGCAUGUGGACACCCCGUGUUUGGAGGGUGUGUCUGGCUGAGUUGGGGGCAGAAAUGACACAGCAAACACUGAGCAUGGCUGUGUGCCAGGCCCUGUUUGAGGCCCAGAGACAAGGCAAGGCCAGGGGAGGGGACAGGAAAGUGAGGUUCGCAGAGGAGAAAUUAAACAGAAGGGGUUGGGGGGACUGGGGACUUCAGCCCGGCGGCGGCGGCAUGUGGGGUCUCCUAGGAGGCAGACUUGGGCAUGUGGAUCUGGAGAGGAGAGGCACUGUGGGGUGCCUGGGGAGAUGGGAUGGCAGGCGCAAAGGCCCUGUGGUAGGUGCCAAUAUGGCAUCCAAGACCAGUGUGGAGCUGGGGGCUGGGGGCAGUGGCAAAGCAAGUGGAAGGCAGAAGGCCGGAGCUCGAGGAGGGGUCAAAGUGGCCCCCACGACGGACCAUCUGCUCCUGCUGGACUGGGGCUGGCCAGCUGGUGGAGCGGGGCUCGGACAUCGACCUGGCCUUUGCCCAGGCUGGGGGCAGGGUGGUGGCCAGCGAGUCAACCUUGCAGGGCAAAGUCCGGGGCCAAGGGGCAGGACCCGCCAAGACUCCCUGUGGAUCGCCCCUCCUGCCCGCCUGUCCCUUCCUCCCUGGCUGCCUGGCUGCCUGGCUGGUAGCCCCUGGGCUUCAAGGUCCCAGAGAGGGACGCAGACACCUCUAGAUCUGUGACGGAGAACAGGGGGCUGGGGACCCAGGGACAGCCUCGCGGAGGAGGGGCCGUGGGGGGCACUGGGACGUGGUCACGGGGACGCGUUCCUGCGGGGGCCCAGCGCAGUGAGGCCUUCGGGCCAGGGGUGUCCGGAUGCGCGACAGGGCUGGGGCUCAGUGAGCGGGGACCCCGAGUGCGCGAGGUCCCCAGGCCCCCGAGACCGCAGAGGCGGGGGGCGGGGGGGCGACGAUGGAGCAAUCGAGCCGGGCCAGGAGGCAGGGCCGCCCUUCCCUUCCGGCCCGCGGC
Molecule: long non-coding RNA, 1569 nt
Filed under: Heterocephalus glaber (naked mole-rat)
Lineage: Eukaryota; Metazoa; Chordata; Mammalia; Rodentia; Bathyergidae
Description: lncRNA (ENSHGLG00100033642.1)
Source: RNAcentral